Molecule: ribosomal RNA, 253 nt
Filed under: uncultured bacterium
Lineage: Bacteria
Description: partial 16S ribosomal RNA
Rfam family: Bacterial small subunit ribosomal RNA
Source: RNAcentral
UACGUAGGGGGCAAGCGUUGUCCGGAAUCAUUGGGCGUAAAGCGCGUGUAGGCGGCCACGUUAGUCCGUUCUGAAAGCCCGGGGCUCAACCCGGGAACUGCGUCCGAUACUGGAAGGCUUGAAUCCGGGAGAGGGAUGCGGAAUUCCAGGUGUAGCGGUGAAAUGCGUAGAUAUCUGGAGGAACACCGGUGGCGAAGGCGGCAUCCUGGACCGGUAUUGACGCUGAGGCGCGAAAGCCAGGGGAGCAAACGGG